UGGGGAAUUUUGGACAAUGGGCGAAAGCCUGAUCCAGCAAUGCCGCGUGUGUGAAGAAGGCCUUCGGGUUGUAAAGCACUUUUGUCCGGAAAGAAAUCCUUGGCUCUAAUACAGUCGGGGGAUGACGGUACCGGAAGAAUAAGCACCGGCUAACUACGUGCCAGCAGCCGCGGUAAUACGUAGGGUGCAAGCGUUAAUCGGAAUUACUGGGCGUAAAGCGUGCGCAGGCGGUUUGCUAAGACCGAUGUGAAAUCCCCGGGCUCAACCUGGGAACUGCAUUGGUGACUGGCAGGCUAGAGUAUGGCAGAGGGGGGUAGAAUUCCACGUGUAGCAGUGAAAUGCGUAGAGAUGUGGAGGAAUACCGAUGGCGAAGGCAGCCCCCUGGGCCAAAUACUGACGCUCAUGCACGAAAAGCGUGGGGAGCAAACAGGAUUAGAUACCCUGGUAGUCCACGCCCUAAACGAUGUCAACUAGUUGUUGGGGAUUCAUUUCCUUAGUAACGUAGCUAACGCGUGAAGUUGACCGCCUGGGGAGUACGGUCGCAAGAUUAAAACUCAAAUGAAUUGACGGGGUCAUAGCUG
RNAcentral lists this ribosomal RNA (581 nucleotides) under uncultured bacterium. Its description in RNAcentral is "partial 16S ribosomal RNA". It matches the Rfam family "Bacterial small subunit ribosomal RNA", at positions 355 to 932 of the family's 1533-position model. The record is from RNAcentral.